AGAGUUUGAUCCUGGCUCAGGAUGAACGCUGGCGGCGUGCUUAACACAUGCAAGUCGAACGAUGAUCCGGUGCUUGCACCGGGGAUUAGUGGCGAACGGGUGAGUAACACGUGAGUAACCUGCCCUUAACUCUGGGAUAAGCCUGGGAAACUGGGUCUAAUACCGGAUAUGACUCCUCAUCGCAUGGUGGGGGGUGGAAAGCUUUAUUGUGGUUUUGGAUGGACUCGCGGCCUAUCAGCUUGUUGGUGAGGUAAUGGCUCACCAAGGCGACGACGGGUAGCCGGCCUGAGAGGGUGACCGGCCACACUGGGACUGAGACACGGCCCAGACUCCUACGGGAGGCAGCAGUGGGGAAUAUUGCACAAUGGGCGCAAGCCUGAUGCAGCGACGCCGCGUGAGGGAUGACGGCCUUCGGGUUGUAAACCUCUUUCAGUAGGGAAGAAGCGAAAGUGACGGUACCUGCAGAAGAAGCGCCGGCUAACUACGUGCCAGCAGCCGCGGUAAUACGUAGGGCGCAAGCGUUAUCCGGAAUUAUUGGGCGUAAAGAGCUCGUAGGCGGUUUGUCGCGUCUGCCGUGAAAGUCCGGGGCUCAACUCCGGAUCUGCGGUGGGUACGGGCAGACUAGAGUGAUGUAGGGGAGACUGGAAUUCCUGGUGUAGCGGUGAAAUGCGCAGAUAUCAGGAGGAACACCGAUGGCGAAGGCAGGUCUCUGGGCAUUAACUGACGCUGAGGAGCGAAAGCAUGGGGAGCGAACAGGAUUAGAUACCCUGGUAGUCCAUGCCGUAAACGU
RNAcentral lists this ribosomal RNA (790 nucleotides) under Arthrobacter sp. pfB10. Its description in RNAcentral is "bacterial SSU rRNA". It matches the Rfam family "Bacterial small subunit ribosomal RNA", at positions 8 to 809 of the family's 1533-position model. Lineage: Bacteria; Bacillati; Actinomycetota; Actinomycetes; Micrococcales; Micrococcaceae. The record is from RNAcentral.